AUCCUGGUUUGAUUGGAACGACGAAGAAGCUGUGCUAUUCCCAAACUAGGAACCUGGAAUCGCCUGAUUGUUGACAUGAAGCAAUAAAGAGAGGAGAAUGAAGUAAGAAGCAAGAGGGGAACAAUUACAUCCGGAUCAAGUAAUCACUCAACUUACCUUGCUAGACAAGUCUGUCCGUACAAGACAACCCUAACUUGGAGUGCAAGACAUAAGAGUGACUGAUGUAGAAGAGAAGAAGGCAAGAAGAAUGUUUGGAAUCGUCUAAGGGAAGUGGGGAACCGUUGAGAGUGCAGGUCACGGGUCUGGUUAAGGAUUCAAAGUCUUCCCACCCGUUAGGACCUGUCACUAUCCAGGACCACUUUGCCCAUCUCUCCUCUGUCUUAACUUCUUUGUUUAUUGUUUCCUUAAUGUCGACAUCUUGCUGUAUGAAUUCUAUAAAUGGGUUGUUCCCAUAAACAAAUCAUUCAAGGGAAAAGAGUUCUCUAUUAUUCUCUUUGUCAAUCUCUCUCUCUCUCUCACGGUUCAACCUAGUUCUUCUCUAAUCUCUUCACAAAUCUUCCUUAAACUCUCACAUAAAUCCUAUAAAACUUUCAUGGUAUCAGAGCAGCUGUGCUCUUGAGACCUAAAUCUCUUUUUCUUCCGCGAACUCUCUGUGUUUUAUUUCUAUUUUUGGCAAAGUUCAUCCUGUUCUUGAGGUGUUCUUCAAUCUCAUUUCCAGAAUUUGCCAAAAGUAGCAAAGUUCAUCCAAAACUUUCGUUUCUCUUUCUCUCUUGAUGGAUACCUCCGAGAACCCAAAGAUGGUAAUGAUACCAGUUACUCUCAAGGGUCCUAACUACCUGACAUGGGCAAGACUUGCCAAAACAGCUCUCGGAGGCAGAGGUCUUUGGGAGAUUGUUGAAGAAGGCCGCCCCACCAAGAAGACUGUCCUAGGAGAGGAUGGCAAAGAAGUGGUGGUUGCGGAUGCUGGGGAUAAGAAGAAAGGUCAGGAGGACCUCAUGGUGUUGUCUAUCAUCCAGAAUAGCCUCGCCCCUUCUCUCCAAGAGGCUUAUGCAUUCUGUGAAACUUCCAAGGAGCUGUGGGAUACUCUCAAGAAGGUGUAUGCCAACAAAUCCAACAUCAGCAAGGUGUAUGAAGUAAAAGGAGCAAUCAAUUCUCUAAGUCAAGAGGACACAGACUUUGAUGCUCAUUUUGGGAAGUUCCGGUCUCUAUGGGCUGAGCUAGAGAUGCUCAGACCCGCAACAGUUGAUCCGGAUGUUCUACAUGAAAGAAGGGAGCAAGAUAAGGUCUUUGCCUUGCUGCUCACUCUCAACCCAGGGUAUGAUGACCUUAUUAGGCACAUACUGAGGAACAAGGAGCUUCCAUCUCUAGAUGAAGUGUGUGCUGAGAUUCAGAAGGAGCACGGCUCAGUGGGUCUCUUUAAGAGAAAGGGAGAGCUAGUGAUGGCCAAUCAAGCUGAAGGAGCCGAGAGCAAACCUGCCGGAGUAGCCAACAAAGGGUACUACAAGCCGGAGGAAAAGAAAGUGUGGGUGUGUGAUCAUUGCAAGAGGAAGGGUCACGGCAAGGACAAGUGCUGGAUACUUCACCCACACCUCAAACCGGCUAAGUUCAAGACUGAUGGUCGGGCAAACUACUCAGGUGAUGUAGGAGAAGCUUCCACGGCCUACCGCACUCAUGAGGGCAAGGGAAACCAGGAUGAGUCCAUCAAGAAAUCUGACAUUGAGGCACUCAUCAAAGCUCUCAAGGAGUCUGGUAAAACUCUUGGUUCCUCCCUUAGUGCAUCAUAUCAAUUGCCUAGGAGUUUAUUCACGGCGUUUCAAGUUGCUCAUGAAUCUGAUAGAGUUAAACCCUUAGUCAUAGACUCAGGAGCCUCUCAUCACAUGAUUAGUGAUUUAAAUUUGAUUAAAAAUAUCACUCCUGCAGUAGGAAAUGUUAUGAUAGCUGAUGGUAACAAGGUUCCAAUUAAAGGCAUAGGGGAACUUAAAUUAUUUGAGAAAGAAUCCAAAGCUUUCUACAUGCCUAGUUUCACUUCUAAUCUAUUAUCUGUGAAAAGGGUGACCAAUGACUUGAAUUGCAAUGUUAUAUUUACGCCUGAUGAUGUCUACUUUCAGGAUAUUGACUCAUGUAGGUUGCUUGGCAAAGGUGUGAGCAAGGGAAACCUGUACUUGCUAGAAGACACUAAGCUUGCAUCCGAUCUAUCUGUUGCUUUCAAUUCAAGUUUUAAUUUCCCUAAAGAUGUAAUGUGGCAUGCUAGAUUAGGACAUCCUCAUUCUCGUGCCUUGAACAUCAUGUUGCCUAGUAUUUCAUUCCAGCAAGAUUGUGAAGCUUGUAUCUUAGGAAAACAUUGCAAAACUGUAUUUCCCAAGUCUAGUACAAUCUAUGAACACUGCUUUGAUUUAAUCCACUCGGAUGUAUGGACAGCUCCAUGUCUUUCUAGAGAACAUCACAAGUAUUUUGUGACCUUUAUUGAUGAGAAAUCCAAGUACACAUGGAUCACUCUCUUACAAUCAAAGGAUAGGGUCUUAGAUGCAUUUAUAAACUUUGAAACAUAUGUCUCUAACCAUUAUAAUGCCAAAGUUAAGAUUUUGAGAUCAGAUAAUGGAGGAGAGUACACCAGCAAUGCAUUCAAAGCUCAUCUAGCCAAACAAGGUGUGAUUCAUCAAACCAGCUGUCCAUACACUCCCCAACAAAAUGGUGUGGCCGAGAGGAAGAACAGGCAUCUCAUGGAGGUCACUAGGAGCAUGAUGUUCCAUACUAGUGUCCCAAAGAGCUUUUGGGGUGAUGCGGUCCUAACUGCAUGCUACCUGAUCAACCGCAUUCCUACCAGAGUUCUACAAGACUGCUCUCCAUUUGAGGUAUUGAACAAAGCUAAACCAUCUAUUGAUCAUAUGCGUGUGUUUGGGUGCCUUUGUUUUGUUUUGAAACCAGGAGAACUGAGGAACAAACUGGAGGCUAAGAGCACAAGAGCUAUGUUCAUUGGGUAUUCACCAAACCAGAAGGGCUAUAAGUGCUAUGAACCAGAGACUAGGAGAGUCUUGGUAUCUAGAGAUGUGAAGUUUGUAGAAACCAGAGGGUACUACAACAACAAGGAUUGGAAUGAGCUGGAGAACUUGUCUCAAUCCGCAUCAGAUAGAGCAGCCAAUCUCAGACAAGUCAUGAGGAGACUUGGGGUCAGCUUACCUAUGGAAGAGCCGGGACAAGCAGGAUCAGAUAAUGUGGGAGGAUCAAGCCGGUCUGAAGAGCAAACCGAGACAACUACAGAUGAAGUUGAGAUCCAAGAAGCUGCUCCCCUUGAUCCUGAGGGGGGAAAUCAGGGUGAACCACCUGUAUCUGAGGAAGUUCAUGAUCAAGAAGAGCACCAUGACCAAGAGGAGGAAGUGGAGGAUCAGAAUCAGAACUUGGAAGGUGGAGAAGGCACUCAGAAUGAAAAUGAUCAGCCAGUACUUAGGAGAAGUACUAGGAUCAAGAAGCCGGCUUCAAACUGGAACAACACCAGAGUCUACUUCAAUGCAGAGGCAGUAGCUCACCCACCCAGUGGCGUGUGCUCCCUAGCUCACUAUCCAGAAGAACAUCAAGCCUUUGUGGGCUCAUUGGAUCAGGAAUGGAUACCAAGAACAUAUGCAGAAGCUAUGGAAGAUGAUGAAUGGAGGGAAUCAGUGAAUGAUGAAAUGGGAGCCAUGGAGAGGAACAACACCUGGUAUGAGACAGAGCUUCCAAAAGGAAAGAAAGCCGUGACCAGCAGACUCAUACACACUAUCAAGUAUCUUGCAAAUGGAAAGCCAGAAAGAAAAAAGACCAGAUUGGUAGCAAGAGGAUACACACAAGUUUAUGGAGAAGACUAUCUAGACACCUUUGCACCAGUGGCCAAGCUUCACACAAUCCGGAUUAUCCUUUCAUUGGCAGUAAAUCAAGAGUGGGAUCUUUGGCAAAUGGAUGUGAAGAAUGCCUUCUUGCAAGGUGAACUAGAAGAUGAGGUAUAUAUGAGACCACCGCCGGGAAUGGAAGAGAUGGUGAAACCAGGGAAUGUACUCAGACUCAGAAAAGCCAUAUAUGGUUUGAAACAAUCACCAAGAGCUUGGUAUCACAAGCUGAGCACUACACUGAAUGGGAGAGGCUUUGUGAAGUCUCAAGCGGAUCACACACUCUUCACUCUCACCAGCAAGCAAGGGAUUGUUGUGAUUCUAGUCUAUGUGGAUGAUAUCAUCAUCACUGGUUGUGACAAGGAGGGGAUCAGUUCAACCAAGACCUUUCUUAAAGCCGCAUUUGAUAUCAAAGACCUAGGAGAACUGAAGUACUUCCUCGGCAUUGAGAUGUGCAGAUCAAAGGAAGGAUUGUUCAUGUCCCAAAGAAAGUAUACCCUGGACAUCUUAAAGGAGGCAGGAGAUCUUGGAGGAAGACAAGCCAAGACACCACUUGAAGAAGGUUACAAGGUAUUGCGAGAGGGGGAGUAUGAAGAUACUCCAUUUGAAGAUGUCAAACAAUAUAGACGGAUGGUUGGGAAGCUGAUCUAUCUAACCAUCACUCGGCCAGAUGUGUGCUUUGCAGUUAAUCAAGUAAGCCAACAUAUGCAAACUCCCAAGGUUCAUCACUGGAACAUGGUGGAGAGGAUACUAAGAUACUUGAGAGAGGCACCAGGUCAGGGUGUAUGGAUGGCUUGCAACAAGAACACUGAGGUGAUAGGAUACUGUGAUGCAGAUUGGGCUGGGGACAGAAUAGACAGAAGAUCAACCACCGGCUAUUGUACAUUCAUUGGAGGAAAUCUGGUCACUUGGAAGAGCAAGAAACAGAAGGUAGUGUCUUGCUCUAGUGCAGAAGCAGAGUACAGAUCAAUGAGGAAGCUAACCAGUGAGCUUAUCUGGAUAAAAGGGCUUCUAGGCGACUUGGGAAUUGAGAUCAAAACUCCCAUGACCAUGCAUUGUGACAACCAAGCCGCAAUACACAUUGCAUCCAACUCAGUCUUCCAUGAGAGGACAAAACACAUAGAAGUGGACUGCCUCAAGGUAAGACAAGCAGUAGAGCAGCAAGUGAUUCUCCCAUGUUAUACAAGAAGUGAGGAUCAGCUGGCUGACAUCUUCACCAAGGCGGCCAGUAGCAAAGUUUGUGAGUCCAUUCUUCCAAGACUUGGACUCAUAAACCUCCCAUGUCAAUAAUCCCCUCACCAUGGAGUAUUCUACUCUUUUUCCUUUGCUUGGUUUUUAUCCCAAGUGGUUUUUCCAAGUAAAGGUUUUAAUGAGGGAAUGCUUCAUGGUUUCCAAGCUUGACAAUCACCACUGUCAAGCUUGAGGGGGAGUGUUGACAUGAAGCAAUAAAGAGAGGAGAAUGAAGUAAGAAGCAAGAGGGGAACAAUUACAUCCGGAUCAAGCAAUCACUCAACUUACCUUGCUAGACAAGUCUGUCCGUACAAGACAACCCUAACUUGGAGUGCAAGACAUAAGAGUGACUGAUGUAGAAGAGAAGAAGGCAAGAAGAAUGUUUGGAAUCGCCUAAGGGAAGUGGGGAACCGUUGAGAGUGCAGGUCACGGGUCUGGUUAAGGAUUCAAAGUCUUCCCACCCGUUAGGACCUGUCACUAUCCAGGACCACUUUGCCCAUCUCUCCUCUGUCUUAACUUCUUUGUUUAUUGUUUCCUUAAUGUCGACAUCUUGCUGUAUGAAUUCUAUAAAUGGGUUGUUCCCAUAAACAAAUCAUUCAAGGGAAAAGAGUUCUCUAUUAUUCUCUUUGUCAAUCUCUCUCUCUCUCUCACGGUUCAACCUAGUUCUUCUCUAAUCUCUUCACAAAUCUUCCUUAAACUCUCACAUAAAUCCUAUAAAACUCUCAAGAGAGGUUUCCAAAGGAGAGGAAGUCUAAGCUAAUGCCGCGGAUUGAUGGCCCUUUUGAAGUCACCAAGAGGAUCAAUGACAAUGCCUACAAACUUGAUCUGCAAGGUAAGUACGAUAUAAGUGAUAGCUUCAAUGUUACUGACUUGAUCCCUUUUGUUGCAGAUGAGCCAGAUUUGAGGACAAAUCCUUUUCAAGAGGGAGGGGAUGAUGUGAUCAUGGACCAACUACCUAAUGAAGAUGAUGAGGAUCUAGAUAAGCCGGCUGAUGAAGAUGUCCUAGCCUUGCCGAAAGGACCUAUGACUCGAUCAAGAUCAAGAAAGCUCACGCAAGUUAUUGGGGGAUUGGUUAAGAUGUCAUGGAAGCAAGAGGAAUGUCUUGGUAGAAGCUUGAUCAACCAAGACACACUUAUCACCAUUCAAGCUACUUCACCAUCAAGCUGAUCAUCAACUAAGCAAGCAAUCUAUGCGUGCUCUUUUUCCCUAUCUUUGGUUUUGUCCCAAUGGGUUUUCCAAAGAUAGGUUUUUAACGAGGCCAUAGAUUUGCUUCUCAAAACUCUUAGUUGAUGAUCUCGAUCCGACCUUAUCCCGGAUCAACCUUAUGUUAUACAUUUCAUGUUUUUGUUUUCAAACUUGUCAUUAGUUCUAUUUUCAAGAGAACCGUGUGCCUUUACUCUCUUGAUAGUUUUCGAGAAGCUUGGAGUCUGUUCCAACUUCUCUUAUAUAAGUGUACUUUGAAACCCUUAUCAAUAACAAUUAUCUUUUAUCAUAAACCUUUUCCUUUGUUCUCUCUACUGCUUGUUUGCGAGUUGUUGAGUGUUCUUGUUGGUGUGUAAUAUCCAACAGCCCAAGAGUGUCUAUCUCGGUGUGUCAUAUCCGAUCUAGUCACUUAGGAGUAUCAGGAAGCCUUUCCGCAGCCUCUUGUGUCACCAAUCGAUUCACAACCUUGUAGAACUUGAGUCUUUGAUUCGUUCUAGCAAGGAUCUAUCCCAGACUAUCCAGAGAAGCAAUCUAGGGACGUAUUAGGUCACGGCAAGGACAAGUGCUGGAUACUUCACCCACACCUCAAACCGGCUAAGUUCAAGACUGAUGGUCGGGCAAACUACUCAGGUGAUGUAGGAGAAGCUUCCACGGCCUACCGCACUCAUGAGGGCAAGGGAAACCAGGAUGAGUCCAUCAAGAAAUCUGACAUUGAGGCACUCAUCAAAGCUCUCAAGGAGUCUGGUAAAACUCUUGGUUCCUCCCUUAGUGCAUCAUAUCAAUUGCCUAGGAGUUUAUUCACGGCGUUUCAAGUUGCUCAUGAAUCUGAUAGAGUUAAACCCUUAGUCAUAGACUCAGGAGCCUCUCAUCACAUGAUUAGUGAUUUAAAUUUGAUUAAAAAUAUCACUCCUGCAGUAGGAAAUGUUAUGAUAGCUGAUGGUAACAAGGUUCCAAUUAAAGGCAUAGGGGAACUUAAAUUAUUUGAGAAAGAAUCCAAAGCUUUCUACAUGCCUAGUUUCACUUCUAAUCUAUUAUCUGUGAAAAGGGUGACCAAUGACUUGAAUUGCAAUGUUAUAUUUACGCCUGAUGAUGUCUACUUUCAGGAUAUUGACUCAUGUAGGUUGCUUGGCAAAGGUGUGAGCAAGGGAAACCUGUACUUGCUAGAAGACACUAAGCUUGCAUCCGAUCUAUCUGUUGCUUUCAAUUCAAGUUUUAAUUUCCCUAAAGAUGUAAUGUGGCAUGCUAGAUUAGGACAUCCUCAUUCUCGUGCCUUGAACAUCAUGUUGCCUAGUAUUUCAUUCCAGCAAGAUUGUGAAGCUUGUAUCUUAGGAAAACAUUGCAAAACUGUAUUUCCCAAGUCUAGUACAAUCUAUGAACACUGCUUUGAUUUAAUCCACUCGGAUGUAUGGACAGCUCCAUGUCUUUCUAGAGAACAUCACAAGUAUUUUGUGACCUUUAUUGAUGAGAAAUCCAAGUACACAUGGAUCACUCUCUUACAAUCAAAGGAUAGGGUCUUAGAUGCAUUUAUAAACUUUGAAACAUAUGUCUCUAACCAUUAUAAUGCCAAAGUUAAGAUUUUGAGAUCAGAUAAUGGAGGAGAGUACACCAGCAAUGCAUUCAAAGCUCAUCUAGCCAAACAAGGUGUGAUUCAUCAAACCAGCUGUCCAUACACUCCCCAACAAAAUGGUGUGGCCGAGAGGAAGAACAGGCAUCUCAUGGAGGUCACUAGGAGCAUGAUGUUCCAUACUAGUGUCCCAAAGAGCUUUUGGGGUGAUGCGGUCCUAACUGCAUGCUACCUGAUCAACCGCAUUCCUACCAGAGUUCUACAAGACUGCUCUCCAUUUGAGGUAUUGAACAAAGCUAAACCAUCUAUUGAUCAUAUGCGUGUGUUUGGGUGCCUUUGUUUUGUUUUGAAACCAGGAGAACUGAGGAACAAACUGGAGGCUAAGAGCACAAGAGCUAUGUUCAUUGGGUAUUCACCAAACCAGAAGGGCUAUAAGUGCUAUGAACCAGAGACUAGGAGAGUCUUGGUAUCUAGAGAUGUGAAGUUUGUAGAAACCAGAGGGUACUACAACAACAAGGAUUGGAAUGAGCUGGAGAACUUGUCUCAAUCCGCAUCAGAUAGAGCAGCCAAUCUCAGACAAGUCAUGAGGAGACUUGGGGUCAGCUUACCUAUGGAAGAGCCGGGACAAGCAGGAUCAGAUAAUGUGGGAGGAUCAAGCCGGUCUGAAGAGCAAACCGAGACAACUACAGAUGAAGUUGAGAUCCAAGAAGCUGCUCCCCUUGAUCCUGAGGGGGGAAAUCAGGGUGAACCACCUGUAUCUGAGGAAGUUCAUGAUCAAGAAGAGCACCAUGACCAAGAGGAGGAAGUGGAGGAUCAGAAUCAGAACUUGGAAGGUGGAGAAGGCACUCAGAAUGAAAAUGAUCAGCCAGUACUUAGGAGAAGUACUAGGAUCAAGAAGCCGGCUUCAAACUGGAACAACACCAGAGUCUACUUCAAUGCAGAGGCAGUAGCUCACCCACCCAGUGGCGUGUGCUCCCUAGCUCACUAUCCAGAAGAACAUCAAGCCUUUGUGGGCUCAUUGGAUCAGGAAUGGAUACCAAGAACAUAUGCAGAAGCUAUGGAAGAUGAUGAAUGGAGGGAAUCAGUGAAUGAUGAAAUGGGAGCCAUGGAGAGGAACAACACCUGGUAUGAGACAGAGCUUCCAAAAGGAAAGAAAGCCGUGACCAGCAGACUCAUACACACUAUCAAGUAUCUUGCAAAUGGAAAGCCAGAAAGAAAAAAGACCAGAUUGGUAGCAAGAGGAUACACACAAGUUUAUGGAGAAGACUAUCUAGACACCUUUGCACCAGUGGCCAAGCUUCACACAAUCCGGAUUAUCCUUUCAUUGGCAGUAAAUCAAGAGUGGGAUCUUUGGCAAAUGGAUGUGAAGAAUGCCUUCUUGCAAGGUGAACUAGAAGAUGAGGUAUAUAUGAGACCACCGCCGGGAAUGGAAGAGAUGGUGAAACCAGGGAAUGUACUCAGACUCAGAAAAGCCAUAUAUGGUUUGAAACAAUCACCAAGAGCUUGGUAUCACAAGCUGAGCACUACACUGAAUGGGAGAGGCUUUGUGAAGUCUCAAGCGGAUCACACACUCUUCACUCUCACCAGCAAGCAAGGGAUUGUUGUGAUUCUAGUCUAUGUGGAUGAUAUCAUCAUCACUGGUUGUGACAAGGAGGGGAUCAGUUCAACCAAGACCUUUCUUAAAGCCGCAUUUGAUAUCAAAGACCUAGGAGAACUGAAGUACUUCCUCGGCAUUGAGAUGUGCAGAUCAAAGGAAGGAUUGUUCAUGUCCCAAAGAAAGUAUACCCUGGACAUCUUAAAGGAGGCAGGAGAUCUUGGAGGAAGACAAGCCAAGACACCACUUGAAGAAGGUUACAAGGUAUUGCGAGAGGGGGAGUAUGAAGAUACUCCAUUUGAAGAUGUCAAACAAUAUAGACGGAUGGUUGGGAAGCUGAUCUAUCUAACCAUCACUCGGCCAGAUGUGUGCUUUGCAGUUAAUCAAGUAAGCCAACAUAUGCAAACUCCCAAGGUUCAUCACUGGAACAUGGUGGAGAGGAUACUAAGAUACUUGAGAGAGGCACCAGGUCAGGGUGUAUGGAUGGCUUGCAACAAGAACACUGAGGUGAUAGGAUACUGUGAUGCAGAUUGGGCUGGGGACAGAAUAGACAGAAGAUCAACCACCGGCUAUUGUACAUUCAUUGGAGGAAAUCUGGUCACUUGGAAGAGCAAGAAACAGAAGGUAGUGUCUUGCUCUAGUGCAGAAGCAGAGUACAGAUCAAUGAGGAAGCUAACCAGUGAGCUUAUCUGGAUAAAAGGGCUUCUAGGCGACUUGGGAAUUGAGAUCAAAACUCCCAUGACCAUGCAUUGUGACAACCAAGCCGCAAUACACAUUGCAUCCAACUCAGUCUUCCAUGAGAGGACAAAACACAUAGAAGUGGACUGCCUCAAGGUAAGACAAGCAGUAGAGCAGCAAGUGAUUCUCCCAUGUUAUACAAGAAGUGAGGAUCAGCUGGCUGACAUCUUCACCAAGGCGGCCAGUAGCAAAGUUUGUGAGUCCAUUCUUCCAAGACUUGGACUCAUAAACCUCCCAUGUCAAUAAUCCCCUCACCAUGGAGUAUUCUACUCUUUUUCCUUUGCUUGGUUUUUAUCCCAAGUGGUUUUUCCAAGUAAAGGUUUUAAUGAGGGAAUGCUUCAUGGUUUCCAAGCUUGACAAUCACCACUGUCAAGCUUGAGGGGGAGUGUUGACAUGAAGCAAUAAAGAGAGGAGAAUGAAGUAAGAAGCAAGAGGGGAACAAUUACAUCCGGAUCAAGCAAUCACUCAACUUACCUUGCUAGACAAGUCUGUCCGUACAAGACAACCCUAACUUGGAGUGCAAGACAUAAGAGUGACUGAUGUAGAAGAGAAGAAGGCAAGAAGAAUGUUUGGAAUCGCCUAAGGGAAGUGGGGAACCGUUGAGAGUGCAGGUCACGGGUCUGGUUAAGGAUUCAAAGUCUUCCCACCCGUUAGGACCUGUCACUAUCCAGGACCACUUUGCCCAUCUCUCCUCUGUCUUAACUUCUUUGUUUAUUGUUUCCUUAAUGUCGACAUCUUGCUGUAUGAAUUCUAUAAAUGGGUUGUUCCCAUAAACAAAUCAUUCAAGGGAAAAGAGUUCUCUAUUAUUCUCUUUGUCAAUCUCUCUCUCUCUCUCACGGUUCAACCUAGUUCUUCUCUAAUCUCUUCACAAAUCUUCCUUAAACUCUCACAUAAAUCCUAUAAAACUCUCAAGAGAGGUUUCCAAAGGAGAGGAAGUCUAAGCUAAUGCCGCGGAUUGAUGGCCCUUUUGAAGUCACCAAGAGGAUCAAUGACAAUGCCUACAAACUUGAUCUGCAAGGUAAGUACGAUAUAAGUGAUAGCUUCAAUGUUACUGACUUGAUCCCUUUUGUUGCAGAUGAGCCAGAUUUGAGGACAAAUCCUUUUCAAGAGGGAGGGGAUGAUGUGAUCAUGGACCAACUACCUAAUGAAGAUGAUGAGGAUCUAGAUAAGCCGGCUGAUGAAGAUGUCCUAGCCUUGCCGAAAGGACCUAUGACUCGAUCAAGAUCAAGAAAGCUCACGCAAGUUAUUGGGGGAUUGGUUAAGAUGUCAUGGAAGCAAGAGGAAUGUCUUGGUAGAAGCUUGAUCAACCAAGACACACUUAUCACCAUUCAAGCUACUUCACCAUCAAGCUGAUCAUCAACUAAGCAAGCAAUCUAUGCGUGCUCUUUUUCCCUAUCUUUGGUUUUGUCCCAAUGGGUUUUCCAAAGAUAGGUUUUUAACGAGGCCAUAGAUUUGCUUCUCAAAACUCUUAGUUGAUGAUCUCGAUCCGACCUUAUCCCGGAUCAACCUUAUGUUAUACAUUUCAUGUUUUUGUUUUCAAACUUGUCAUUAGUUCUAUUUUCAAGAGAACCGUGUGCCUUUACUCUCUUGAUAGUUUUCGAGAAGCUUGGAGUCUGUUCCAACUUCUCUUAUAUAAGUGUACUUUGAAACCCUUAUCAAUAACAAUUAUCUUUUAUCAUAAACCUUUUCCUUUGUUCUCUCUACUGCUUGUUUGCGAGUUGUUGAGUGUUCUUGUUGGUGUGUAAUAUCCAACAGCCCAAGAGUGUCUAUCUCGGUGUGUCAUAUCCGAUCUAGUCACUUAGGAGUAUCAGGAAGCCUUUCCGCAGCCUCUUGUGUCACCAAUCGAUUCACAACCUUGUAGAACUUGAGUCUUUGAUUCGUUCUAGCAAGGAUCUAUCCCAGACUAUCCAGAGAAGCAAUCUAGGGACGUAUUAUGUGGUAUCAGAGCAUCUCUGGUUAGGGAAGUUCUCGUUUCUCUUUUGUUUCGAUUUAACCUGUUCAACUUCUUGAUCAGUUUUAGAUCGAUCCGUUUUGUUUCAACUGAUCUGUUCUGUGAUUCGCAAUAUCCAUUGAUUGAUCUGUAAACCAGGGUUGUUUGAUUGUGUGAUCUAAUCGUUUUGUGUCAAACAAAUUGUUAAGAAGUUUGAAUUGAUAGAUCUAGGUUUCGUGCUUUUAGAUCUGAUCAUUAUCGAUUCAUAUUCUCGUUUUGAUUCCUUGUUUAAACCUGAUUGAUUGUGUGAUCUGUUUUGAAUCACCUAUAACAACUAGAUCUACUUGUGUAUCGUCGAAAUCUGAUCAACGAACCUACCCUGAUCUCGUUUCUAUUGCGAUUUACUUGUUGUCGAUAUGAAUUCUUGUUACUUGUUAAUCAAGUUUUCUUUACCGCCAGUUUAUUUCAGUUUAAAAUCUCUUGAUCAUCUACUGAUUACGAUCAGUUUAUUGGAAUUAUUUACUGGUUGAGUGUUGUUGUUGAUUCUAGGUCCCAAUGGGGAAAGAAUCAGAAGAAGAAGCCGAGCUAGUAAGGAAGAACAAGAUGCUGAGAGAGCAAAUGACCGAGCAAAUGAAUCAGACUAUGAUCUCUACAAUGGCUGAUAUGCUCAAGGCUAGCAUGAAGGAAUUACGUGAGGAGAUGAGACAAGAGUUGAGGCAAGCUACUGGCCAGGGACAUAGCAAUGAGUCUAGAAGGAACCGGCCUACUCCAGUACGGCAAGAGCAUGCGGGUUCACAAGAGACCGACAACUACUACUCGCGCCAUAGAACUGAGCACAACCCAACUGAGCGCAGUAGUUCUUCAUCUGAACUGAGCAGAGGAAGAUCGAGGCGUGAACAUGAUGGAAGGGGAUCACGCAAAGACAAGCUUUCUGGACUUAAGCUUAAGAUUCCACCCUUCCAUGGCAAGAUUGAUCCAGAUGCCUAUUUGGAAUGGGAAAAGAAGAUCGAGCUUGUCUUCAAUUGCCAACACUACUCCAAUGCCCAACGGAUCAAGAUAGCAGCAACUGAAUUCUAUGAUUAUGCAUUGAGUUGGUGGGAUCAGCUUGUAACUACUAGACGGCUUAACCAAGAGAACCCGGUUGAUUCAUGGCACGAGAUGAAGUCACUCAUGCGCAAACGGUUUGUUCCAAGUCAUUAUCACCGCGAUCUACAUCAAAAGCUACGAAGACUUACCCAAGGAACACGAACUGUUGAAGAGUACUAUCAAGACAUGGAGUUGCUGAUGUUACGCGCUAGUAUCUUGGAGGAUAGAGAAACUACUAUGGCAAGGUUUCUUGGAGGACUUAACCGUGAGAUACAAGACAAUGUGGAGAUGCAACACUAUGUGGAGAUAGAAGAGAUGUUGCACAAAGCUAUUCUAGUGGAGCAGCAGCUCAAGAGGAAGGGUAACUCACGCAGCUAUGGAUCUUCUAAGUUCCACCACUCUAAGGAGGAGAAAACAUCCUAUCUAAAGGAUAGCAAGCCUCAACAGAAAGAAGAGACUAAGCCGAGCAACACAUACAGCAAAGACAAAGGCAAAGCUGAAAUUACUAGUUCAAGAACCAGAGAUGUUAAGUGUUUCAAAUGUCAAGGGCGUGGGCAUUAUGCUAAUGAGUGCACCAACAAAAAGGUUAUGAUUCUUCUUGAGAAUGGAGAGUAUGAAUCAGAGGAAGAGAAGUUUGGUUCUGAUCAUGAGGAGUCUGAUGAAGAAAGUGAAGUAGAACCCGUGAAGGGAAGAUUUUUGGUGACAAGAAGGCUCUUGAACGUACAAGCUAAGAAUGGAGAGCUUGAGCAGCGAGAGAAUCUAUUCUACACAAGGUGUAUGGUUCAGGGAAAGGUGUGCAGCCUCAUUAUUGAUGGAGGAAGUUCUGUCAAUGUAGCAAGUGAGACAAUGGUGAAGAAAUUGGGUUUGAACAUCCAGAAACACCCAAGACCCUACAGAUUGCAAUGGCUCAAUGAGGAGGGCGAGAUGAGAGUUUCUACUCAAGUACUGGUUCCUAUAGCCAUUGGUAGAUAUGAAGAUGAAGUCUUGUGUGAUGUGUUGCCAAUGGAAGCCAGUCAUAUACUUCUUGGAAGACCCUGGCAGUAUGAUAGACGUGUGAAUCAUGAUGGCUUCACCAACAAGCACUCAUUUGAAUUCAAUGGAAAGAAGACUGUGCUGGUGCCUUUGUCUCCUAAAGAGGUUCAUGAAGAUCAACUCCAGCUUCAGAAAAAGAAAGAGAAAAAGAUUGAUCUCAAACCUGAUCAUAACAAGCAUCACAGCCUCUAUGCCAAACAGGGAGAUAUCAAAAGAAUUCUCUACUCUCAAAAUUCUAUUAUCUUGCUUAUGUUUAAAGAGACUCUUCUAACAGUUACUGAUCACACACCGGAUCAUCCGAGUGAACUAGUUUCUCUUUUACAGGAAUAUGCAGAUGUGUUUCCAGAAGAUAGCCCCAUUGGAUUGCCUCCAGUGCGUGGGAUUGAGCACCAAAUAGACUUUGUACCUGGUUCUACACUGCCCAACCGUCCAGCAUACAGGACCAAUCCAGUUGAAACUAAAGAACUGCAAAAACAAGUAGAGGAGCUGAUGGAGAAGGGUCAUAUCCGAGAGAGUUUGAGUCCUUGUGCAGUUCCAGUGCUCCUUGUGCCAAAGAAAGAUGGGAGCUGGCGCAUGUGUGUUGAUUGUAGAGCAAUCAACAACAUAACAGUGAAGUAUCGCCACCCUAUUCCUAGAUUAGAUGAUAUGCUUGAUGAGUUGCAUGGUUCUUGCAUAUUUUCUAAGAUAUAUUUGAAAAGUGGAUAUCAUCAGAUUAGGAUGAAAGAAGGAGAUGAGUGGAAAACUGCUUUUAAAACUAAACAUGGCUUGUAUGAAUGGUUAGUUAUGCCAUUUGGACUAACCAAUGCGCCUAGUACAUUCAUGAGACUGAUGAAUCAUAUUCUUAGGUCUUUCAUAGGCAUCUUUGUUGUUGUGUACUUUGAUGAUAUAUUAGUUUACAGCAAAUGCUUAGAAGAUCAUAUAGAACAUCUUAGGGCUGUUUUGGAUGUUUUGAGAAAAGAAAAGCUUUAUGCCAAUCUAAAGAAGUGCACUUUUUGCACAGAUAACUUGGUCUUUCUAGGUUUUGUUGUAAGUGCAGAUGGUGUAAAGGUGGAUCAGGAAAAGAUCAAAGCAAUACAAGAGUGGCCGAGUCCAACUACAGUGGGAGAAGUAAGGAGUUUUCAUGGACUGGCAGGUUUCUAUAGGCGUUUUGUGAAGGAUUUCAGCACUCUAGCAGCUCCCCUAACUGAGAUAAUCAAGAAGGAUGUAGGAUUCAAGUGGGGAGAAGUUCAAGAAGCCGCAUUCCAACUCCUUAAAGAGAAGCUUACUCAAUCUCCUCUUCUCAUACUUCCUGAUUUUUCUAAAACAUUUGAAAUAGAAUGUGAUGCCUCAGGAAUUGGAAUUGGUGCUGUUUUGAUGCAGGAUAAGAGACCUAUUGCUUAUUUCAGUGAGAAACUCAGUGGAGCUACUCUCAACUAUGCCACUUAUGACAAGGAACUCUACGCAUUGGUGAGAGCUCUACAGACUUGGCAGCAUUAUCUCUGGCCAAAGGAGUUUGUCAUUCAUACCGACCAUGAAUCUCUCAAGUAUCUCAAAGGACAAAGUAAGCUCAGCAAGAGACAUGCUAGAUGGGUAGAGUUCAUUGAAACCUUUCCUUAUGUGAUCAAAUACAAACAAGGUAAGGAAAAUAUAGUUGCUGAUGCACUAUCCAGAAGGUAUGUCCUCUUAACUACUCUUGAUGCUAAGUUGCUAGGCUUUGAGCAGAUUAAAGACAUGUAUGAAUCUGAUCCUGACUUUCAAGACGCUUAUAAAUCAUGUGCUAAGUAUGCUUCAGGACAUUAUUUUAGGUAUGAUGGAUUCUUAUUCUAUGACAAUCGUUUAUGUGUGCCUAAUUGCUCUUUGAGAGAUCUAUUUGUCAGGGAAUCCCAUGGAGGAAGCUUGAUGGGUCAUUUUGGUAUAGCAAAAACCCUUAAAGUUCUGCAGGAUCACUUCUAUUGGCCGCAUAUGAAAAGAGAUGUGGAGAGAAUCUGUGGAAGGUGCACAACUUGCAAGCUUGCAAAGUCUAAGGUUCAACCUCACGGUUUGUAUACUCCUUUGCCUAUUCCUACUCAUCCUUGGAAUGAUAUAUCUAUGGAUUUUGUUAUGGGUUUGCCUAGAACUAGGACCGGGAAGGAUUCUAUCUUUGUGGUUGUUGAUAGAUUCUCUAAAAUGGCACAUUUCAUAGCUUGCAAUAAGACUGAUGAUGCAUUACAUGUAGCUAAUUUGUUCUUUAAAGAAGUGGUACGUUUGCAUGGAAUGCCUAGGACUAUAGUUUCAGAUAGAGAUACUAAAUUCCUUAGCUACUUUUGGAAAACAUUGUGGUCUAAACUAGGAACUAAGCUAUUGUUUUCUACUACUUGUCAUCCACAAACUGAUGGGCAGACUGAAGUAGUUAAUAGAACCUUAGGUACUCUCCUGCGUGCAUUUAUCAAAAAGAACUUGAAAACAUGGGAAGAUUUCUUGCCUCAUUGUGAAUUUGCAUACAAUCAUGCUAUGCAUUCUGCUUCUAAGUUUUCUCCUUUUGAAAUUGUUUAUGGGUUCAAUCCCAUCUCACCUUUGGAUCUAAUACCUUUACCUGAGUGUGAAAGGGUUAGUAUGGAUGGGAAAAAGAAAGCUGAGAUGGUUCAGCAGAUUCAUGAGCAAGCUAAGCGCAAUCUUGAAGAGAAAACUAAGCAAUACGCCAAACAAGCUAACAAGGGAAGGCGUAAGAUGAUCUUUGAUGUUGGAAAUCAAGUAUGGGUUCACUUGAGGAAAGAGAGGUUUCCAAAGGAGAGGAAGUCUAAGCUAAUGCCGCGGAUUGAUGGCCCUUUUGAAGUCACCAAGAGGAUCAAUGACAAUGCCUACAAACUUGAUCUGCAAGGUAAGUACGAUAUAAGUGAUAGCUUCAAUGUUACUGACUUGAUCCCUUUUGUUGCAGAUGAGCCAGAUUUGAGGACAAAUCCUUUUCAAGAGGGAGGGGAUGAUGUGAUCAUGGACCAACUACCUAAUGAAGAUGAUGAGGAUCUAGAUAAGCCGGCUGAUGAAGAUGUCCUAGCCUUGCCGAAAGGACCUAUGACUCGAUCAAGAUCAAGAAAGCUCACGCAAGUUAUUGGGGGAUUGGUUAAGAUGUCAUGGAAGCAAGAGGAAUGUCUUGGUAGAAGCUUGAUCAACCAAGACACACUUAUCACCAUUCAAGCUACUUCACCAUCAAGCUGAUCAUCAACUAAGCAAGCAAUCUAUGCGUGCUCUUUUUCCCUAUCUUUGGUUUUGUCCCAAUGGGUUUUCCAAAGAUAGGUUUUUAACGAGGCCAUAGAUUUGCUUCUCAAAACUCUUAGUUGAUGAUCUCGAUCCGACCUUAUCCCGGAUCAACCUUAUGUUAUACAUUUCAUGUUUUUGUUUUCAAACUUGUCAUUAGUUCUAUUUUCAAGAGAACCGUGUGCCUUUACUCUCUUGAUAGUUUUCGAGAAGCUUGGAGUCUGUUCCAACUUCUCUUAUAUAAGUGUACUUUGAAACCCUUAUCAAUAACAAUUAUCUUUUAUCAUAAACCUUUUCCUUUGUUCUCUCCACUGCUUGUUUGCGAGUUGUUGAGUGUUCUUGUUGGUGUGUAAUAUCCAACAGCCCAAGAGUGUCUAUCUCGGUGUGUCAUAUCCGAUCUAGUCACUUAGGAGUAUCAGGAAGCCUUUCCGCAGCCUCUUGUGUCACCAAUCGAUUCACAACCUUGUAGAACUUGAGUCUUUGAUUCGUUCUAGCAAGGAUCUAUCCCAGACUAUCCAGAGAAGCAAUCUAGGGACGUAUUAGAUUCAUCCUGGUGUUAUUGGAACGACGAAGAAGCUGUCCUAUUCCCAAACUGGGAAACUGGAAUCACCUGAUUAGAAAGUGGGAUAACUUCUUCAUCCCAACUCCUAUGAGAUUAAUUCAACUUCCUGGUGAUUCUCCACCACUUUAUGUAUCCAAAUCAAGCUUCUUACAAAGUGAUUCUGAUGUGAUCAUGGACCAACUACCUAAUGAAGAUGAUGAGGAUCUAGAUAAGCCGGCUGAUGAAGAUGUCCUAGCCUUGCCGAAAGGACCUAUGACUCGAUCAAGAUCAAGAAAGCUCACGCAAGUUAUUGGGGGAUUGGUUAAGAUGUCAUGGAAGCAAGAGGAAUGUCUUGGUAGAAGCUUGAUCAACCAAGACACACUUAUCACCAUUCAAGCUACUUCACCAUCAAGCUGAUCAUCAACUAAGCAAGCAAUCUAUGCGUGCUCUUUUUCCCUAUCUUUGGUUUUGUCCCAAUGGGUUUUCCAAAGAUAGGUUUUUAACGAGGCCAUAGAUUUGCUUCUCAAAACUCUUAGUUGAUGAUCUCGAUCCGACCUUAUCCCGGAUCAACCUUAUGUUAUACAUUUCAUGUUUUUGUUUUCAAACUUGUCAUUAGUUCUAUUUUCAAGAGAACCGUGUGCCUUUACUCUCUUGAUAGUUUUCGAGAAGCUUGGAGUCUGUUCCAACUUCUCUUAUAUAAGUGUACUUUGAAACCCUUAUCAAUAACAAUUAUCUUUUAUCAUAAACCUUUUCCUUUGUUCUCUCCACUGCUUGUUUGCGAGUUGUUGAGUGUUCUUGUUGGUGUGUAAUAUCCAACAGCCCAAGAGUGUCUAUCUCGGUGUGUCAUAUCCGAUCUAGUCACUUAGGAGUAUCAGGAAGCCUUUCCGCAGCCUCUUGUGUCACCAAUCGAUUCACAACCUUGUAGAACUUGAGUCUUUGAUUCGUUCUAGCAAGGAUCUAUCCCAGACUAUCCAGAGAAGCAAUCUAGGGACGUAUUAUGUGGUAUCAGAGCAUCUCUGGUUAGGGAAGUUCUCGUUUCUCUUUUGUUUCGAUUUAACCUGUUCAACUUCUUGAUCAGUUUUAGAUCGAUCCGUUUUGUUUCAACUGAUCUGUUCUGUGAUUCGCAAUAUCCAUUGAUUGAUCUGUAAACCAGGGUUGUUUGAUUGUGUGAUCUAAUCGUUUUGUGUCAAACAAAUUGUUAAGAAGUUUGAAUUGAUAGAUCUAGGUUUCGCGCUUUUAGAUCUGAUCAUUAUCGAUUCAUAUUCUCGUUUUGAUUCCUUGUUUAAACCUGAUUGAUUGUGUGAUCUGUUUUAAAUCACCUAUAACAACUAGAUCUACUUGUGUAUCGUCGAAAUCUGAUCAACGAACCUACCCUGAUCUCGUUUCUAUUGCGAUUUACUUGUUGUCGAUUUGAAUUCUUGUUACUUGUUAAUCAAGUUUUCUUUACCGCCAGUUUAUUUCAGUUUAAAAUCUCUUGAUCAUCUACUGAUUACGAUCAGUUUAUUGGAAUUAUUUACUGGUUGAGUGUUGUUGUUGAUUCUAGGUACCAAUGGGGAAAGAAUCAGAAGAAGAAGCCGAGCUAGUAAGGAAGAACAAGAUGCUGAGAGAGCAAAUGACCGAGCAAAUGAAUCAGACUAUGAUCUCUACAAUGGCUGAUAUGCUCAAGGCUAGCAUGAAGGAAUUACGUGAGGAGAUGAGACAAGAGUUGAGGCAAGCUACUGGCCAGGGACAUAGCAAUGAGUCUAGAAGGAACCGGCCUACUCCAGUACGGCAAGAGCAUGCGGGUUCACAAGAGACCGACAACUACUACUCGCGCCAUAGAACUGAGCACAACCCAACUGAGCGCAGUAGUUCUUCAUCUGAACUGAGCAGAGGAAGAUCGAGGCGUGAACAUGAUGGAAGGGGAUCACGCAAAGACAAGCUUUCUGGACUUAAGCUUAAGAUUCCACCCUUCCAUGGCAAGGUUGAUCCAGAUGCCUAUUUGGAAUGGGAAAAGUGUUGACUUGAAGAGUGAAAUGGAGCCAAAGGAGAAGUAUGGAGGAGUUUGGGUCUGGUGCAAAGAUAGGGACAAGAUCUUAAGAGAUUGUCUAUCAAGGCUUCAUGAGGGUUUAGAGAAGUCUAGAAGAGUCAUGAAGGCUGUACAAAGAUAGUGUUUAAGUCCAGGAGGGACUUAGACACCAUUUGGAGAUAGUUGGGUGAUGGUGCAAAGAUAGGGCGUCCCGAGGUUCAGACGGUACGAACCGACCGUGCAAAGUUAGGGCGACCCAAAACAUGAUCUGGUUCAUCUAUUGAAGAAGCUUGGUGAAGUUGUGCAAAUAUAGGGCGAGGUACGGACAUCAGGUCCGUACCAUCAACCGUAUGGAUGAGCAGGCCGUACCACUUUACCCGGAUUGACCCGAAAUGGAGAUGUGCAAACUUAGGGAGCAAGGAGGACUUAUCUGAGCUUGUGACUGUUGGGAAUGGAUAAGAGAGGAGCUGGGCGUGACCUGUUGCUAGCUGGAAAGUAGCUAGUCAAAAGGUAAAGCACCUUUUGACCAUGGAACACACAAGGCUCCAUCUUAUCCAUCCAUUUCAAACCUGGGCAAUCUGAACCAUCCAAGCUUCUCACCAGAUUCCUUUAGCCAAUCAGAGACCAUCACCAAGAUUGUGAAGACCAGAUCCAAGACUACAUCCUAGCCAUUCAUUCUCAAGUCAUUUUUAGCCAUUAGAUUAAGGGUUUAUGAUUGCAAACUUGUAAAGCCUAUAUAAAGGCUAUGUGUGGACGUUUUUGUAACCCUUAAGUGAGUAAGGGGGUUUCCCUUCUCCUUCUCUAAUCUGAAACACUAAUCUUCAGUCUCUUAUUCUCUUAGUCUCUCAUCCUGAAUCUCUAAACACGUUCUCAGUCUUGUUACUAAUCUCUUAAACACUUAGACACACAAACUCUCAUUAAACUUCCUUUCUCUCAAAUCGCUUCUAAGCUCUUUCUCUUUACCCAUUUGGGUUUCACACACACAUACAACCUGAGUACUCUUAAAUCUCUUAUGGUAUCAGAGCCAGGUUCAUUAGAACUUGGUUCCAGUUUCUGCUAAGCUCAAAGCUCACUCCCAUGCCAUUUCCAAACCUCAUAAAAAGAAGAUCGAGCUUGUCUUCAAUUGCCAACACUACUCCAAUGCCCAACGGAUCAAGAUAGCAGCAACUGAAUUCUAUGAUUAUGCAUUGAGUUGGUGGGAUCAGCUUGUAACUACUAGACGGCUUAACCAAGAGAACCCGGUUGAUUCAUGGCACGAGAUGAAGUCACUCAUGCGCAAACGGUUUGUUCCAAGUCAUUAUCACCGCGAUCUACAUCAAAAGCUACGAAGACUUACCCAAGGAACACGAACUGUUGAAGAGUACUAUCAAGACAUGGAGUUGCUGAUGUUACGCGCUAGUAUCUUGGAGGAUAGAGAAGCUACUAUGGCAAGGUUUCUUGGAGGACUUAACCGUGAGAUACAAGACAAUGUGGAGAUGCAACACUAUGUGGAGAUAGAAGAGAUGUUGCACAAAGCUAUUCUAGUGGAGCAGCAGCUCAAGAGGAAGGGUAACUCACGCAGCUAUGGAUCUUCUAAGUUCCACCACUCUAAGGAGGAGAAAACAUCCUAUCUAAAGGAUAGCAAGCCUCAACAGAAAGAAGAGACUAAGCCGAGCAACACAUACAGCAAAGACAAAGGCAAAGCUGAAAUUACUAGUUCAAGAACCAGAGAUGUUAAGUGUUUCAAAUGUCAAGGGCGUGGGCAUUAUGCUAAUGAGUGCACCAACAAAAAGGUUAUGAUUCUUCUUGAGAAUGGAGAGUAUGAAUCAGAGGAAGAGAAGUUUGGUUCUGAUCAUGAGGAGUCUGAUGAAGAAAGUGAAGUAGAACCCGUGAAGGGAAGAUUGUUGGUGACAAGAAGGCUCUUGAACGUACAAGCUAAGAAUGGAGAGCUUGAGCAGCGAGAGAAUCUAUUCUACACAAGGUGUAUGGUUCAGGGAAAGGUGUGCAGCCUCAUUAUUGAUGGAGGAAGUUGUGUCAAUGUAGCAAGUGAGACAAUGGUGAAGAAAUUGGGUUUGAACAUCCAGAAACACCCAAGACCCUACAGAUUGCAAUGGCUCAAUGAGGAGGGCGAGAUGAGAGUUUCUACUCAAGUACUGGUUCCUAUAGCCAUUGGUAGAUAUGAAGAUGAAGUCUUGUGUGAUGUGUUGCCAAUGGAAGCCAGUCAUAUACUUCUUGGAAGACCCUGGCAGUAUGAUAGACGUGUGAAUCAUGAUGGCUUCACCAACAAGCACUCAUUUGAAUUCAAUGGAAAGAAGACUGUGCUGGUGCCUUUGUCUCCUAAAGAGGUUCAUGAAGAUCAACUCCAGCUUCAGAAAAAGAAAGAGAAAAAGAUUGAUCUCAAACCUGAUCAUAACAAGCAUCACAGCCUCUAUGCCAAACAGGGAGAUAUCAAAAGAAUUCUCUACUCUCAAAAUUCUAUUAUCUUGCUUAUGUUUAAAGAGACUCUUCUAACAGUUACUGAUCACACACCGGAUCAUCCGAGUGAACUAGUUUCUCUUUUACAGGAAUAUGCAGAUGUGUUUCCAGAAGAUAGCCCCAUUGGAUUGCCUCCAGUGCGUGGGAUUGAGCACCAAAUAGACUUUGUACCUGGUUCUACACUGCCCAACCGUCCAGCAUACAGGACCAAUCCAGUUGAAACUAAAGAACUGCAAAAACAAGUAGAGGAGCUGAUGGAGAAGGGUCAUAUCCGAGAGAGUUUGAGUCCUUGUGCAGUUCCAGUGCUCCUUGUGCCAAAGAAAGAUGGGAGCUGGCGCAUGUGUGUUGAUUGUAGAGCAAUCAACAACAUAACAGUGAAGUAUCGCCACCCUAUUCCUAGAUUAGAUGAUAUGCUUGAUGAGUUGCAUGGUUCUUGCAUAUUUUCUAAGAUAGAUUUGAAAAGUGGAUAUCAUCAGAUUAGGAUGAAAGAAGGAGAUGAGUGGAAAACUGCUUUUAAAACUAAACAUGGCUUGUAUGAAUGGUUAGUUAUGCCAUUUGGACUAACCAAUGCGCCUAGUACAUUCAUGAGACUGAUGAAUCAUAUUCUUAGGUCUUUCAUAGGCAUCUUUGUUGUUGUGUACUUUGAUGAUAUAUUAGUUUACAGCAAAUGCUUAGAAGAUCAUAUAGAACAUCUUAGGGCUGUUUUGGAUGUUUUGAGAAAAGAAAAGCUUUAUGCCAAUCUAAAGAAGUGCACUUUUUGCACAGAUAACUUGGUCUUUCUAGGUUUUGUUGUAAGUGCAGAUGGUGUAAAGGUGGAUCAGGAAAAGAUCAAAGCAAUACAAGAGUGGCCGAGUCCAACUACAGUGGGAGAAGUAAGGAGUUUUCAUGGACUGGCAGGUUUCUAUAGGCGUUUUGUGAAGGAUUUCAGCACUCUAGCAGCUCCCCUAACUGAGAUAAUCAAGAAGGAUGUAGGAUUCAAGUGGGGAGAAGUUCAAGAAGCCGCAUUCCAACUCCUUAAAGAGAAGCUUACUCAAUCUCCUCUUCUCAUACUUCCUGAUUUUUCUAAAACAUUUGAAAUAGAAUGUGAUGCCUCAGGAAUUGGAAUUGGUGCUGUUUUGAUGCAGGAUAAGAGACCUAUUGCUUAUUUCAGUGAGAAACUCAGUGGAGCUACUCUCAACUAUGCCACUUAUGACAAGGAACUCUACGCAUUGGUGAGAGCUCUACAGACUUGGCAGCAUUAUCUCUGGCCAAAGGAGUUUGUCAUUCAUACCGACCAUGAAUCUCUCAAGUAUCUCAAAGGACAAAGUAAGCUCAGCAAGAGACAUGCUAGAUGGGUAGAGUUCAUUGAAACCUUUCCUUAUGUGAUCAAAUACAAACAAGGUAAGGAAAAUAUAGUUGCUGAUGCACUAUCCAGAAGGUAUGUCCUCUUAACUACUCUUGAUGCUAAGUUGCUAGGCUUUGAGCAGAUUAAAGACAUGUAUGAAUCUGAUCCUGACUUUCAAGACGCUUAUAAAUCAUGUGCUAAGUAUGCUUCAGGACAUUAUUUUAGGCAUGAUGGAUUCUUAUUCUAUGACAAUCGUUUAUGUGUGCCUAAUUGCUCUUUGAGAGAUCUAUUUGUCAGGGAAUCCCAUGGAGGAAGCUUGAUGGGUCAUUUUGGUAUAGCAAAAACCCUUAAAGUUCUGCAGGAUCACUUCUAUUGGCCGCAUAUGAAAAGAGAUGUGGAGAGAAUCUGUGGAAGGUGCACAACUUGCAAGCUUGCAAAGUCUAAGGUUCAACCUCACGGUUUGUAUACUCCUUUGCCUAUUCCUACUCAUCCUUGGAAUGAUAUAUCUAUGGAUUUUGUUAUGGGUUUGCCUAGAACUAGGACCGGGAAGGAUUCUAUCUUUGUGGUUGUUGAUAGAUUCUCUAAAAUGGCACAUUUCAUAGCUUGCAAUAAGACUGAUGAUGCAUUACAUGUAGCUAAUUUGUUCUUUAAAGAAGUGGUACGUUUGCAUGGAAUGCCUAGGACUAUAGUUUCAGAUAGAGAUACUAAAUUCCUUAGCUACUUUUGGAAAACAUUGUGGUCUAAACUAGGAACUAAGCUAUUGUUUUCUACUACUUGUCAUCCACAAACUGAUGGGCAGACUGAAGUAGUUAAUAGAACCUUAGGUACUCUCCUGCGUGCAUUUAUCAAAAAGAACUUGAAAACAUGGGAAGAUUUCUUGCCUCAUUGUGAAUUUGCAUACAAUCAUGCUAUGCAUUCUGCUUCUAAGUUUUCUCCUUUUGAAAUUGUUUAUGGGUUCAAUCCCAUCUCACCUUUGGAUCUAAUACCUUUACCUGAGUGUGAAAGGGUUAGUAUGGAUGGGAAAAAGAAAGCUGAGAUGGUUCAGUAGAUUCAUGAGCAAGCUAAGCGCAAUCUUGAAGAGAAAACUAAGCAAUACGCCAAACAAGCUAACAAGGGAAGGCGUAAGAUGAUCUUUGAUGUUGGAAAUCAAGUAUGGGUUCACUUGAGGAAAGAGAGGUUUCCAAAGGAGAGGAAGUCUAAGCUAAUGCCGCGGAUUGAUGGCCCUUUUGAAGUCACCAAGAGGAUCAAUGACAAUGCCUACAAACUUGAUCUGCAAGGUAAGUACGAUAUAAGUGAUAGCUUCAAUGUUACUGACUUGAUCCCUUUUGUUGCAGAUGAGCCAGAUUUGAGGACAAAUCCUUUUCAAGAGGGAGGGGAUGAUGUGAUCAUGGACCAACUACCUAAUGAAGAUGAUGAGGAUC
RNAcentral lists this long non-coding RNA (25192 nucleotides) under Brassica napus (rape). Its description in RNAcentral is "long non-coding RNA (BNAP_LNC002132)". Lineage: Eukaryota; Viridiplantae; Streptophyta; Magnoliopsida; Brassicales; Brassicaceae. The record is from RNAcentral.